Molecule: long non-coding RNA, 386 nt
Organism: Tripterygium wilfordii
Lineage: Eukaryota; Viridiplantae; Streptophyta; Magnoliopsida; Celastrales; Celastraceae
Exons: 3
Source: RefSeq, a predicted model, not a curated record
AGAUUUGAGCUUGGUUUGAGAUUUGGUGUUGGAUAAGAAGGGAUUAAGCAAGGGUUUGACGAAUUGGCUAAGGUUAUUUGAACUUGGAAGGUUGGUGGCUAGAGUUGUGGUGAAGUUUUGCUCAAACGAGGUACUAGCGCUAGUGCUCCGACUACGGAUCAGCAGGGAAGCGCAUGACGUGGAUGGCCUGGACUAGUGUUGGUGUGGUGGUUUGUUUUUAUUAUGUUUAUGUAGUGUUUAUGUUAUGGAUGAAUGAUGAUUUUGGUUGGUUAGGCCUGAGGCCUUGGUAUGUACAUGCGUAUGGGGAUUUAUGAUUUGGGAUGAUAUGGCCUGAGGCCCUGGAUGAUUAUUUUGGUGGUAUGGGAAUUGUGUGGUUUAAAUUGCUA